Molecule: non-coding RNA, 1411 nt
Organism: Parasteatoda tepidariorum (common house spider)
Lineage: Eukaryota; Metazoa; Arthropoda; Arachnida; Araneae; Theridiidae
Source: RefSeq, a predicted model, not a curated record
AUAAGUAUCGUCAAAUAUAUUCGCUAUGUUUUUGUUUUUUCAUUGUAUAUGUUACGAAUGAGGAUCGUAAUGUUAUCUAAUUGGAUAAUUGUAAUUAUCAAUAAUAAUCGAAACAUUUUCGUAUUCAAUGUGUAUCGCAUCAAUAAGGAUCGCGAUAUAAUCGUUAUUGAUGCGAAUGUGUAAAUUUUGAGUAAUCAGUUUAAAACUUAAUCGGGGAUAAUUCCUUCGAAUUGGUGCAUUUGGUUUCAUGAUUGUAACCUAUUAUAAUAUAAACAUUUUUGUAAUCAAUGUUCAUCGUUAUCAUAAAUGAUAACGAUAUUAUCGUAUGUGAUGUACCUGUUUGCAUUUCGAGUAAUCUGUUCAAAAUGCUGGCGAGUGACCACACCAUCUAAUAUGACGUUAAGUGCUCACGGGUGGAAGGAGGGAAUCGAAAAUUUUAAAUCAAUUUAAUUACCGAAAUCAGACAGACACUAAAAGGUGUUGAAAUUUUCUUCAUGGACUUAUAAUAUUCAUGCUUAUAUAUUACAUUAUAUUCAUGCUCUUAUCCAAUAAGUAUCGUCAAAUAUAUUCGCUAUGUUUUUGAUUUUUCAUUGUAUAUGUUACAAAUGAGGACCGUAAUGUUAUCUAAUUGGAUAAUUGUUAUUAUCAAUAAUAAUCCAAACGUUUUCGUAUUCAAUGUGUAUCUCAUCAAUAAGGAUUGCGAUAUAAUCGUUAUUGAUGCGUCUGUGUAAAUUUUGAGUAAUCAGUUUAAAACAGAAUCGGGGAUAAUUCCUACGAAUUGGUGCAUUUGGUUUCAUGAUUGUAACCUAUUAUAAUCUAAACAUUUUCAUAUUCAAUUUUCAUCGCUAUCAUUAAUGAUCACGAUAUUUUCGUAUUUGAUGUACCUGUUUGCAUUUUGAGUAAUCUGUUCAAAAUGCUGUUUAGUGACCCCACCAUCUAAUAUGACGUGAUGUGCUCACGGGUGGAGGGAGGGAAUCGAAAAUUUUGUAUCAAUUUAAUUACCGAUAUCAGACAGACACUUAAAGGUGUUAAAAUUUUCAUGGACUUACAAUAUUCAUGCUUAUAUGUUACAUUAUAUUCAUGCUCAUAUUCAAUAAGUAUCGUCAAAUAUACUCGCUAUGUUUUUGAUUUUUCAUUGUAUAUGUUACAAAUGAGGACCGUAAUGUUAUCUAAUUGGAUAAUUGUUAUUAUCAAUAAUAAUCCAAACGUUUUCGUAUUCAAUGUGUAUCUCAUCAAUAGGGAUUGCGAUAUAAUCGUUAUUGAUGCGUCUGUGUAAAUUUUGAGUAAUCAGUUUAAAACAGAAUCGGGGAUAAUUCCUACGAAUUGGUGCAUUUGGUUUCAUGAUUGUAACCUAUUACAAUCUAAACAUUUUCGUAUUCAAUGUUCAUCGUUAUCAUUAAUGAUCACGAUA